RNAcentral lists this long non-coding RNA (337 nucleotides) under Phaseolus vulgaris (common bean). RNAcentral describes it as "long non-coding RNA (PVUL_LNC002332)". The record is from RNAcentral. Lineage: Eukaryota; Viridiplantae; Streptophyta; Magnoliopsida; Fabales; Fabaceae.
UCAAUCCCUUAAUUUUAGGGAUUUCCAACAAACAAAUUUAUAUUUAUUAUUCAAUCCAUCUAUAUUUAUUGUCCAGUAAAUGUGCAAUGUUUGCACCCAUAUUUUAACAAGUAUGAAUUGACAAAAAAAUAAAUGACAUCCGUGAAACCUAACUUUACCCUUAAGGUUUGUUUAAUCCAUUUUUACCCUUAAGGUUUGUUUAAUCCAUGCAUGCGUGAAUUUCAAAAACUACAGAAGUUAUACCUGAGUGCCACUACCAUUGUCACUUCCAUCCCCAUUGUUCAGGCCUCCACUUCCAUUAUCAUCAUCAUUGCUCCCAAAAUUAUCAGACUUCCCA